This is a long non-coding RNA of Penaeus indicus, 300 nucleotides long. RefSeq lists it as uncharacterized. The transcript is spliced from 3 exons. The record is from RefSeq and is a predicted model, not a curated record. Lineage: Eukaryota; Metazoa; Arthropoda; Malacostraca; Decapoda; Penaeidae.
AGGCAUACGUGUCGCUUCACUCCUAUGGGCAAACAUUCCUGUAUCCUUGGAGCUACUCCAGAGCCGCCAACAGCUCCAAAACUAGAGACCUGGUAAAUUUAGCGGACGGUAUGGCGAGGAAGGUCGAAGCUGCCGGUGGGACGCGGUACAAUAUUAGCGGCAGCGGAGUUUCAAUUCUCGUCGGAGGGGCGUCUGACGACUGGGUGGCGAGCCAGGGCGUGCCGUACGUGUACACCAUGGAGCUGCGCGACAAGGGCGAAACCGUCUUCCACCUUCCCGAGCAUCUCAUCGUCCCGACGG